UGUUUAUACAACAAAUACAACCUGAAGAAGCAGAAGUGAUGUAUUUCUGCAAAUGAGGAUUUUGUAUUUCAGAAUAUUAUAGGCUUCAAAAUAAGGGAAGGCUUUCAUCUUUCCAAUUGCUUUGAGGACUGAAUUUUACCAAAAGCCAUUAACUGCAGAGCAGGCAGAGCCCGCUUGGCAGGAGGGAUUAUUUACCCUGGCUGUCUUCUCCAAAGGAGGUCUGAACCUGCCAAGGAACUGCAUGCAAACCCCAUGGAUCUGUGCAGGUGUCACCAGCUGAUGGGAUAAGCCCCCCCAACCAGAUCAAGAAGACACUGGAGCUUGCAGUGCACAGAUUUUCACAUGUAUGGAAUUGAGAACAAGGAUAUAAAAUGUAGGUAAAAUGAUGAAAAAGUUGA
Neopsephotus bourkii (Bourke's parrot) is the source of this 398-nucleotide long non-coding RNA. RefSeq lists it as uncharacterized. NCBI's taxonomy places the organism in Eukaryota, Metazoa, Chordata, Aves, Psittaciformes, Psittacidae. The transcript is spliced from 3 exons. The record is from RefSeq and is a predicted model, not a curated record.